Long non-coding RNA from Rhineura floridana, 1755 nucleotides. RefSeq lists it as uncharacterized. The record is from RefSeq and is a predicted model, not a curated record. The transcript has 3 exons. Lineage: Eukaryota; Metazoa; Chordata; Lepidosauria; Squamata; Rhineuridae.
CAUGUGGGAGGGUUUCCUCGCCCUGCCCUCGGGUGCGGCCGGAGCGUCUAGUUCACCCAAGGGGCUUCCCUAUCGCAUUCUUUCGAGGGGGAAAAGGCGUCUCCCCAGUCUCGGUAGCUGCUUUCUCGGUGCUGGGAGAGCGGAUCCCUUCCCCGGCCCGCCUACCUCCUACGCGUGAUGUAUGAAGCGUUUGGAAACGUGGGCCCAAUGCCGCUACUUGUUUGCUACAAAACGAGAGUGUCGGAUCAGCAGCUGGUGCUGGUGAGGCGAAGAGAUUAAACUGGAACGAGCAGCCAAGCCGCGCUCUCUCCUCCUCCGCUGCCUUGUAGAAGGAGGGCCUCCCUCGUUAGGCAGCCCCCUGACUCUUCUGGUCCCCUGGGCCGGGCCGAGGAGGCGGAGAUGGAGCAGAGCCGAGCCAAGCAAGAGGAGUUAGUGGCCCCUCCCAGUUCUCUGUCUUGCUCGUCCACUCGGAGGAUUGGUGCCAUAGCGCUGCCUAGCUAGAGAUCACCCGCGGCCGUCCGCUCGGUUUCUCCUGCUGGCCGCCUCUCGAGGCGACGAGGCUCAGGGCAGGGGCAGCCGUCUCUCCCUGCGGGAAGUGCGCCCCAGGAGCUCCGUCCUCCCCGCCACAGCGCGAGAGAGGGCGAGCGAGCACGCAGUGGCGGCGGCGGCGGCUGCUCCUCCGACCGGCAGGAACUGCUUCCCUUUGUUUGCUCGCCCCCCUCCCGAUGGCUCUUGUCCGGGCCCAAUGCUUCCUGCUAUAUUGCCGAAAGGGACAGGAAGUGCAAAUAAUGCGAAGUAGCGGCAGUUCUCCCUUGCCCAGAACCGCCGCCUCUCCUCGCUGGCCCGACGGUCGAGAGGGGUCGGAUUCACUGGAUCCCUCCUGUGCGGGCACCUGAAGGGGCGAGGGCAGUAUGGCUUCUGAACUGGUUUUGGGAUGGCAACUGCCUUGGUCAUGCUACUGGAUGAACAGCACUGGAGAUAAACGAGGGAAGUACAACCCUAUUAAUUCUGUGCUUGAUACCAUCAACUAUUAGCCUUCUGGGACAUCUGGUAGGGCACUGUGAAUCAAUGCUUCAGUUGCUUCCUGAAUGGUCAGACCCAGGUGGUGCUGAGAGACCACUGUUGCACUUCAGGGUGUUCGAUCUAUUUCAUAAGCUUUCAUCUUUCCUCUCCUGAGCUUUAACAUCUGCAUGAAACUGCUAGUAGCCCCGUUUUGGCCCUGAAGUCAGUGAACUCAGCAUCUGGAUUCAUAUUGUAUAUUCAAUGGGGAAACCGAAUAUUUCAUCAUACCUGUGGUUGAGCCACCACCAUCUCCAAACAAAAGAUAGAAAGAGUAUGGAUUCCUGCCUUUGCUGCUAACUCAGAUCUUACGUUGUGUAGAAAAUAUUUGGGGUGUUUCUUUUUGGAGUUUGUAACUAAUUAAAAGGGUAACACAUCUGUGUCAAAGUCAGUGGAGCACAAGGCUACUGCACGCAACGGAGUGCAAGAUUUGGUCUGCUGGCGGGGGGGGGGAUUUAAACAGGCUGUUGGGCUUUGCUGCAGCCUAAGGAAUGUUUUAUAUGGGAAUUUUUCCCUGAAAAUCCAAACCACCCCAAGCACAAAAUGUGACCUGCAAUAUUCAAAGAGGAUUAUAUUGCAGGUCUGUCAUAAGCCACACUUUCCCAACUUUUCAAUAUAGGGAUAUAUUUCAGUGUCAUCAGCUAUAUCCUAAUAAAGGAUUGAUACUUUAAUUAUCUGCUGUGAUGCUGACCUGUG